RNAcentral lists this ribosomal RNA (459 nucleotides) under uncultured bacterium. Its description in RNAcentral is "partial 16S ribosomal RNA". It matches the Rfam family "Bacterial small subunit ribosomal RNA", at positions 338 to 795 of the family's 1533-position model. The record is from RNAcentral.
CCUACGGGUGGCAGCAGUGAGGAAUAUUGGUCAAUGGGCGCAAGCCUGAACCAGCCAAGUCGCGUGAGGGAAGACUGCCCUAUGGGUUGUAAACCUCUUUUAUAAGGGAAGAAUAAUGACUACGUGUAGUCAGAUGCCCGUACCUUAUGAAUAAGCAUCGGCAAACACCGUUCCAGCAGCCGAGGUAAUACGUAGGAUGCGAGCGUUAUCCGAAUUUAUGGGGUUUAAAGGGUGCGUAGGCGGUAUUUUAAGUUAGUGGUAAAACGUCGGGCUUUCACCUUGAUUGGCAAUUAAAACUGGAAGACUAGAGUACAGAAGAGGUAGGCGGAAUAAGUGAAGUAGCGGUGAAAUGCGUAGAUAUCACGUAGAACCCCGAUAGCGAAGGCAGCUUACCAGACUGUUACUGACGCUGAAGCACGAGAGCGUGGGUAGCGAACAGGAUUAGAUACCCGGGUAGUC